GAGGGAAAUUUUCAGAAGAUGUAUAUUUUACCAAUAACAAAAAAUAAGGUGCUGCCUGGCUGUCGUCAGCUCGUGCCGUGAGGUGUUGGGUUAAGUCCCGCAACGAACGCAACCCCCAUCUUUAGUUGCCAUCACGUAAUGGUGGGGACUUUAGAGGAACUUCCCCGCAAAACGAGAGGAAUGAGGGGGAGAAGUCAAGUCAUCAUGGCCCUUAUGCCCGGGGGUACACACGUGCUACAAUGGGCGGUACAAAGGGGUGCAACAUGGUGGCAGCAAGCCAAACCCUAAAAAACCGUUUCAGUUCGGAUUGGGGUUUGCAACUCGACCUCAGAAGCUGAAUCGCUAGUA
This 348-nucleotide ribosomal RNA is filed under the name uncultured bacterium. RNAcentral's name for it is "partial 16S ribosomal RNA". It matches the Rfam family "Bacterial small subunit ribosomal RNA", at positions 991 to 1340 of the family's 1533-position model. The record is from RNAcentral.